AAAUUGAAGAGUUUGAUCAUGGCUCAGAUUGAACGCUGGCGGCAGGCCUAACACAUGCAAGUCGAACGGUAACAGGAAGCAGCUUGCUGCUUUGCUGACGAGUGGCGGACGGGUGAGUAAUGUCUGGGAAACUGCCUGAUGGAGGGGGAUAACUACUGGAAACGGUAGCUAAUACCGCAUAACGUCGCAAGACCAAAGAGGGGGACCUUCGGGCCUCUUGCCAUCGGAUGUGCCCAGAUGGGAUUAGCUAGUAGGUGGGGUAAAGGCUCACCUAGGCGACGAUCCCUAGCUGGUCUGAGAGGAUGACCAGCCACACUGGAACUGAGACACGGUCCAGACUCCUACGGGAGGCAGCAGUGGGGAAUAUUGCACAAUGGGCGCAAGCCUGAUGCAGCCAUGCCGCGUGUAUGAAGAAGGCCUUCGGGUUGUAAAGUACUUUCAGCGGGGAGGAAGGGAGUAAAGUUAAUACCUUUGCUCAUUGA
RNAcentral lists this ribosomal RNA (482 nucleotides) under Escherichia coli. RNAcentral's name for it is "bacterial SSU rRNA". It matches the Rfam family "Bacterial small subunit ribosomal RNA", at positions 1 to 472 of the family's 1533-position model. Lineage: Bacteria; Pseudomonadati; Pseudomonadota; Gammaproteobacteria; Enterobacterales; Enterobacteriaceae. The record is from RNAcentral.